This 451-nucleotide ribosomal RNA is filed under the name uncultured bacterium. Its description in RNAcentral is "partial 16S ribosomal RNA". It matches the Rfam family "Bacterial small subunit ribosomal RNA", at positions 354 to 796 of the family's 1533-position model. The record is from RNAcentral.
GUGGGGAAUAUUGCGCAAUGGGGGAAACCCUGACGCAGCGACGCCGUGUGAGGGAAGAAGGCUUUCGGGUCGUAAACCUCUGUCAGAAAGGAAGAACCUCCCAAGUCCGAAUAGGGCUUGGGACUGACGGUACUUUCAAAGGAAGCACCGGCUAACUCCGUGCCAGCAGCCGCGGUAAUACGGAGGGUGCAAGCGUUAAUCGGAAUCACUGGGCGUAAAGCGCGCGUAGGCCGCUUUGUAAGUCGGACGUGAAAGCCCUCGGCUCAACCGGGGAAUUGCGUUCGAAACUGGAUGGCUUGAGUCCUGGAGAGGGUGGCGGAAUUCCGGGUGUAGGAGUGAAAUCCGUAGAUAUCCGGAGGAACACCGGUGGCGAAGGCGGCCACCUGGACAGGUACUGACGCUGAGGCGCGAAAGCGUGGGGAGCAAACAGGAUUAGAAACCCUGGUAGUCC